CCGUGCUAGACGGGGAGGUAGCGGUGCCCUGUAACCUGCAACCCGCUAUAGCAGGGUUUAAUUCCGGUGGGAGGCGGCUCUUCGUGGUACCGGCUAUGACACGUGGUGUUGAAGAUCAGGUCCUGCGCAACGGAGACCGGUGAACCCCGCCAGGUCCGGAAGGAAGCAACGGUAAGCCGAUCCCUCCGUGUGCCGCGGGGCAACCUGGUUGGAGCUAACGAUCAUAGUACGAUCGGGAGGAGUCCGUCAAAAGCCGGUGCACGG
This 264-nucleotide signal recognition particle RNA is filed under the name Bacillota bacterium. RNAcentral describes it as "Firmicutes bacterium (anaerobic digester metagenome) signal recognition particle sRNA large type". It matches the Rfam family "Bacterial large signal recognition particle RNA". Rfam says of the family: The signal recognition particle (SRP) is a universally conserved ribonucleoprotein involved in the co-translational targeting of proteins to membranes. Archaeal SRP consists of a 7S RNA and homologues of the eukaryotic SRP19 and SRP54 proteins. The record is from RNAcentral. Lineage: Bacteria; Bacillati; Bacillota.